Molecule: ribosomal RNA, 292 nt
Filed under: uncultured bacterium
Lineage: Bacteria
Description: partial 16S ribosomal RNA
Rfam family: Bacterial small subunit ribosomal RNA
Source: RNAcentral
GUGUCAGCCGCCGCGGUAAUACGGAGGGGGCUAGCGUUGUUCGGAAUUACUGGGCGUAAAGCGCACGUAGGCGGAUUGGUAAGUCGGGGGUGAAAUCCCGGGGCUCAACCCCGGAACUGCCUCCGAAACUUCCAGUCUGGAGUCCGGGAGAGGCGAGUGGAAUUCCGAGUGUAGAGGUGAAAUUCGUAGAUAUUCGGAGGAACACCAGUGGCGAAGGCGGCUCGCUGGUCCGGUACUGACGCUGAAACGCGAAAGCUAGGGGAGCGAACGGGAUUAGAAACCCCCGUAGUCC